Molecule: non-coding RNA, 145 nt
Organism: Gossypium hirsutum (cotton)
Lineage: Eukaryota; Viridiplantae; Streptophyta; Magnoliopsida; Malvales; Malvaceae
Source: Rfam
UGUUAAAAAUUCCAUACAUUUGUAAUGUUAAAAACUGACAUGAUUGACGAAAUAAUCAGACAGUAACAUGUGGCAUGCCACAUACACCCCAUGCUUAUUUACAUGAACCAAUUUUUAAUCGUAAAAAUAGUUGAAAUUCUUAACA